Molecule: small RNA, 349 nt
Filed under: Schizophyllum commune H4-8
Lineage: Eukaryota; Fungi; Basidiomycota; Agaricomycetes; Agaricales; Schizophyllaceae
Description: 5' ureB small RNA
Rfam family: 5' ureB small RNA
Source: Rfam by way of RNAcentral
CCUCUUCGACUUGCUGAGGGCAGAUGUAGUGCACAUGCGUGUCGAUGGCGCCGGCGGUGACGAUGAGCUUCUCGCCGGCGAUGACUUCGGUGGAGGAGCCGAUAAUGAGGGUAGGAUCGACGCCGUCCAUGAUGUCUGGGUUUCCCGCCUUGCCUAUGCCGUGGAUGAGGCCGUCUUUGACGCCGAUAUCCGCCUGGGAAGGAGAAAUUUAUCUGGUGCUGGACAAUGACUAGGAAGUCCACAACUCACCUUGUAUAUCCCAGACCAGUCAAUGAUCAAGGCGUUGGUGAUGACAAGGUCCAGCGAAUCCUUCGCUGCUCGGUUCGAGGCUUGACCCAUCCCCUCGCGG